This 366-nucleotide ribosomal RNA is filed under the name uncultured organism. Its description in RNAcentral is "bacterial SSU rRNA". It matches the Rfam family "Bacterial small subunit ribosomal RNA", at positions 526 to 896 of the family's 1533-position model. The record is from RNAcentral.
CGGAGGAUCCAAGCGUUAUCCGGAAUCAUUGGGUUUAAAGGGUCCGUAGGCGGUUUUGUAAGUCAGUGGUGAAAGCCCAUCGCUCAACGGUGGAACGGCCAUUGAUACUGCAAGACUUGAAUUAUUGGGAAGUAACUAGAAUAUGUAGUGUAGCGGUGAAAUGCUUAGAGAUUACAUGGAAUACCAAUUGCGAAGGCAGGUUACUACCAAUAUAUUGACGCCGAUGGACGUAAGCGUGGGGAGCGAACAGGAUUAGAUACCCUGGUAGUCCACGCCGUAAACGAUGGAUACUAGCUGUUCGGAGCAAUCUGAGUGGCUAAGCGAAAGUGAUAAGUAUCCCACCUGGGGAGUACGUUCGCAAGAAUG